CUACGGGGUGCAGCAGUGAGGAAUAUUGCACAAUGGGGGGAACCCUGAUGCAGCAACGCCGCGUGGAGGAUGACGCAUUUCGGUGUGUAAACUCCUUUUAUAUGUCAAGAAAAUGACGGUAGCAUAUGAAUAAGCACCGGCUAACUCCGUGCCAGCAGCCGCGGUAAUACGGAGGGUGCAAGCGUUACUCGGAAUCACUGGGCGUAAAGGACGCGUAGGCGGGCUUGUAAGUCAGGUAUGAAAUCCUACAGCUUAACCGUAGAACUGCACUUGAAACUACGAGCCUAGAGUAUGGGAGGGGGAGAUGGAAUUAGUGGUGUAGGGGUAACAUCCGUAGAUAUCACUAGGAAUACCUAAAGCGAAGGCGAUCUCCUGGAACAUAACUGACGCUAAGGCGUGAAAGCGUGGGGAGCAAACAGGAUUAGAUACCCUCGUAGUC
RNAcentral lists this ribosomal RNA (439 nucleotides) under uncultured bacterium. RNAcentral's name for it is "partial 16S ribosomal RNA". It matches the Rfam family "Bacterial small subunit ribosomal RNA", at positions 339 to 795 of the family's 1533-position model. The record is from RNAcentral.